RNAcentral lists this long non-coding RNA (1918 nucleotides) under Panax ginseng (ginseng). RNAcentral describes it as "long non-coding RNA (PGIN_LNC017028)". The record is from RNAcentral. Lineage: Eukaryota; Viridiplantae; Streptophyta; Magnoliopsida; Apiales; Araliaceae.
UUAGCUGUCUUUUUCCGUUUAAAGUCAAAGCAUUUAACGGUUGUUUUAACUUUGUGUUAGAAAGGUGAGUACAAUUAGUUGACUGGAAGAAGAAAAAAAAUUUAUUUAUCUAUUUAUAAAUUGAUAUAUAAUACAGUGACCAAAAAUACACUUAACCCAUAAAACCCAUAACUGGGAGUCUGGGUUACCAAUAUGGUUCAGCCAUUACUGACUUGCGUGGUAAACGAAGUUGAUUUAAUUUCAAUAAUUCAUUUGGGUUCAAUAUUUUACAUUUUUACUCCUUAUAUUCUGUGGAAGUUUAUAAUGUAGGAUAUAUAAUAAAUUAGAGUGAAGUCAUACUUAAGUUUUACCAAUCUCAUACAUACACAUAGGUCUUAAUUAUAAUUUGAGGAUUCUUGUUUAUUUAUGAUAUUUAUAUGAUCCAAAGCCAAUAGUAGAUAAAAUAUUGGGUCAAUUCCAAUUACCCAAUACAAAGCAUGACAGGUAAAUCGGCAUGCAAUUUUUAAGCUGAUCCGUCAAAAAAGCCUGGUACUUUUUAGAUUUGGGUUGGAUUUAAUAUUGGACUGACGGGCUUUGGUCCCCCCAAUGACAUAUUGCCCAAAUAUUUACAAUCUCAAGCGUAUUUUUAUAGUCAUUAUCAGUAUUAUAUUAGCAGAAUUGUACAAAAUUUGUGUGUCUCAUUGUAGGGUAAAAUCAAAAGUUCAAAACUAAUCAUGUUACAACUACUAGAGCAUACAUACAAAUGGAGCAAUUUUACUAAAAUAAUAUCCUGUCUUGGUUCAAUAUAAGAAUGAUGUUUAACCCUAAAAACAACUAUGAUUUCGGAAUGAAAACUGAUAUUUCCACAACAGAAAAUGAUAUUUACACAUAAAAACAUAAAAAGUGUCGCAUUUUGCAUGUGAAAAUAUCAAAAAGUGUUGUGGAAAUAUCAAUUUCCUUUCGGAAAUUAUAUAAUAUACAAUCAGUACCUUCCGAUUUGUCUACAAUAAUUCUUUAUUUCUUUGCAUGCCAUUAACUCUAUCAAUUAAUGUUAACAGCAUCUGGUGGUUCAAUGCUUCAUAGUCUCUGCAUAAUUACAAGACAGUUUCUUUUAAGUAGUGUAUAACAUAAUCAUUUUUAGCAUCUAUUAUUCAUCAUAACUAUAAUAAAGUAGAGUUAAUCAUUUCUAUUUUUACCUGUAUGUAUAGAUGGCAUAUAGGAGCUGUGUUGUUGCAAACAGAAUGAACAGUAAUCUGACCAGACUUAUUAUCCAUGCCUGUUGUUCAAUGUCAUUUGAUACAUAUUUAGGUACGGCAAAUUCAAACAGAAAUGCAGCACAUAACCCUGCAGCAAAAAUAAAAAAUAAAAAUAAAAAUAAAUUCAAUGUUUCAAAAUAAAAAAAUUCUGAAUUUUAGGAAAUCAAAGGUGAUAAUGUACCUAUAUAGAGCCUAGGCCUCACAGGGUACGUUUGCUUUGUACUUGUGAACAUAUAGAUAAUAAAGAUUGAUAUGGAGUAGACAAUGAAAGCUUUGAUCCAUCGCGACUCCAGUAGAAUGGCAUUGUGCAGGGCAAAGAGCUUGUCUAUGGCUAGAAACAUGGUUGAUUGCUUUGAUUCAAAAUCAUCCUACAAAUAUAUAUACAGACAUUCGAAAGAGGUACAUAGAGUAAGUAACUGCUAACUUCUGAGCAUAUAUAAUGUCCCCGAAAGCUGCACUAACCUGAGAAGCUAAUAUUGUCUUUGAAUUUUGUAUCAGAUGACCAUGAGUUUGUUCAAGUUGUUGUUGCCGUCUAAGAAGCUCUUCUUGUUGCUUAUGACCAAUUUCAGCCAACUCUUCCAGGGUGCCCCUGUAAAAAAGAUAAAAUCAAAAUCGAUUUUGCCUUUUUUAGUUAUGAUUUGUGUCAUAACUUUGUUUAUACCUGCUUUCUUUAAGUGAUUGGG